AGAGUUUGAUCAUGGCUCAGGAUGAACGCUGGCGGCGUGCCUAAUACAUGCAAGUCGAGCGAACAGAUAAGGAGCUUGCUCCUUUGACGUUAGCGGCGGACGGGUGAGUAACACGUGGGUAACCUACCUAUAAGACUGGGAUAACUUCGGGAAACCGGAGCUAAUACCGGAUAAUAUUUCGAACCGCAUGGUUCGAUAGUGAAAGAUGGUUUUGCUAUUACUUAUAGAUGGACCCGCGCCGUAUUAGCUAGUUGGUAAGGUAACGGCUUACCAAGGCGACGAUACGUAGCCGACCUGAGAGGGUGAUCGGCCACACUGGAACUGAGACACGGUCCAGACUCCUACGGGAGGCAGCAGUAGGGAAUCUUCCGCAAUGGGCGAAAGCCUGACGGAGCAACGCCGCGUGAGUGAUGAAGGUCUUCGGAUCGUAAAACUCUGUUAUUAGGGAAGAAUAUACGUGUAAGUAACUAUGCACGUCUUGACGGUACCUAAUCAGAAAGCCACGGCUAACUACGUGCCAGCAGCCGCGGUAAUACGUAGGUGGCAAGCGUUAUCCGGAAUUAUUGGGCGUAAAGCGCGCGUAGGCGGUUUUUUAAGUCUGAUGUGAAAGCCCACGGCUCAACCGUGGAGGCUCAUUGGAAACUGGAAAACUUGAGUGCAGAAGAGGAAAGUGGAAUUCCAUGUGUAGCGGUGAAAUGCGCAGAGAUAUGGAGGAACACCAGUGGCGAAGGCGACUUUCUGGUCUGUAACUGACGCUGAUGUGCGAAAGCGUGGGGAUCAAAC
This 783-nucleotide ribosomal RNA is filed under the name uncultured bacterium. Its description in RNAcentral is "bacterial SSU rRNA". It matches the Rfam family "Bacterial small subunit ribosomal RNA", at positions 8 to 773 of the family's 1533-position model. The record is from RNAcentral.